This 621-nucleotide ribosomal RNA is filed under the name uncultured bacterium. Its description in RNAcentral is "bacterial SSU rRNA". The stretch from base 1 to 525 matches the Rfam family "Bacterial small subunit ribosomal RNA", at positions 338 to 873 of the family's 1533-position model. The record is from RNAcentral.
CCUACGGGAGGCAGCAGUGGGGAAUAUUGGGCAAUGGAGGAAACUCUGACCCAGCGACGCCGCGUGCGGGAUGAAGGCCUUCGGGUUGUAAACCGCUUUCAGCAGGGAAGAAGCGAAAGUGACGGUACCUGCAGAAGAAGCACCGGCUAACUAUGUGCCAGCAGCCGCGGUAAUACAUAGGGUGCAAGCGUUGUCCGGAAUUAUUGGGCGUAAAGAGCUCGUAGGUGGUUCGUCACGUCGGAUGUGAAAAUCUGGGGCUUAACCCCAGACCUGCAUUCGAUACGGGCGAGCUUGAGUAUGGUAGGGGAGUCUGGAAUUCCUGGUGUAGCGGUGGAAUGCGCAGAUAUCAGGAGGAACACCAAUGGCGAAGGCAGGACUCUGGGCCAUUACUGACACUGAGGAGCGAAAGCGUGGGGAGCGAACAGGAUUAGAUACCCUGGUAGUCCACGCCGUAAACGGUGGGCACUAGUUGUGGGGACCUUCCACGGUCUCUGCGACGCGNGCUACGCAUUAAGUCGCCCCGCCGUCGGGAGGUACGAGUCGCGAGAAGUUAAAACUAACAAAUAGUAAGUUAGACGGCGUGAGACGUGCCGACGGACGACCGACCGACGGGAGGUUAGG